RNAcentral lists this ribosomal RNA (253 nucleotides) under uncultured bacterium. Its description in RNAcentral is "partial 16S ribosomal RNA". It matches the Rfam family "Bacterial small subunit ribosomal RNA", at positions 524 to 776 of the family's 1533-position model. The record is from RNAcentral.
UACAGAGGGGGCGAGCGUUGUUCGGAAUUACUGGGCGUAAAGGGCGCGUAGGCGGUCUGCUAAGUUGGAUGUGAAAACUCUGGGCUUAACCCAGAGCCUGCAUUCAAAACUGACAGGCUAGAGUUCUGGAGGGGAUAGCGGAAUUCCUGGUGUAGCGGUGAAAUGCGUAGAUAUCAGGAGGAACACCGGUGGCGAAGGCGGCUAUCUGGACAGAGUCUGACGCUGAGGCGCGAAAGCUAGGGGAGCAAACAGG